GAUGAACGCUGGCGGCGUGCCUAAUACAUGCAAGUCGAGCGAACAGACGAGGAGCUUGCUCCUCUGACGUUAGCGGCGGACGGGUGAGUAACACGUGGAUAACCUACCUAUAAGACUGGGAUAACUUCGGGAAACCGGAGCUAAUACCGGAUAAUAUAUUGAACCGCAUGGUUCAAUAGUGAAAGACGGUUUUGCUGUCACUUAUAGAUGGAUCCGCGCCGCAUUAGCUAGUUGGUAAGGUAACGGCUUACCAAGGCAACGAUGCGUAGCCGACCUGAGAGGGUGAUCGGCCACACUGGAACUGAGACACGGUCCAGACUCCUACGGGAGGCAGCAGUAGGGAAUCUUCCGCACUGGGCGAAAGCCUGACGGAGCAACGCCGCGUGAGUGAUGAAGGUCUUCGGAUCGUAAAACUCUGUUAUUAGGGAAGAACAAAUGUGUAAGUAACUAUGCACGUCUUGACGGUACCUAAGCAGAAAGCCACGGCUAACUACGU
Molecule: ribosomal RNA, 496 nt
Filed under: uncultured bacterium
Lineage: Bacteria
Description: partial 16S ribosomal RNA
Rfam family: Bacterial small subunit ribosomal RNA
Source: RNAcentral